Molecule: ribosomal RNA, 650 nt
Filed under: uncultured bacterium
Lineage: Bacteria
Description: bacterial SSU rRNA
Rfam family: Bacterial small subunit ribosomal RNA
Source: RNAcentral
ACGGGUGAGUAACAUAUCGGAACGUACCGAGUAGUGGGGGAUAACUGAUCGAAAGAUCAGCUAAUACCGCAUACGUCUUGAGAGGGAAAGCAGGGGACCUUCGGGCCUUGCGCUAUUCGAGCGGCCGAUAUCUGAUUAGCUAGUUGGUGGGGUAAAGGCCUACCAAGGCGACGAUCAGUAGCGGGUCUGAGAGGAUGAUCCGCCACACUGGGACUGAGACACGGCCCAGACUCCUACGGGAGGCAGCAGUGGGGAAUUUUGGACAAUGGGCGCAAGCCUGAUCCAGCCAUGCCGCGUGUCUGAAGAAGGCCUUCGGGUUGUAAAGGACUUUUGUCAGGGAAGAAAAGGCUGUUGCUAAUAUCAGCGGCUGAUGACGGUACCUGAAGAAUAAGCACCGGCUAACUACGUGCCAGCGGCCGCGGUAAUACGUAGGGUGCAAGCGUUAAUCGGAAUUACUGGGCGUAAAGAGUGCGCAGGCGGUUUUGCAAGACCGAUGUGAAAUCCCCGGGCUUAACCUGGGAACUGCAUUGGUGACUGCAAGGCUAGAGUGUGUCAGAGGGAGGUGGAAUUCCGCAUGUAGCAGUGAAAUGCGUAGAUAUGCGGAGGAACACCGAUGGCGAAGGCAGCCUCCUGGGAUAACACUGACGCUC